UAGUCUCGCACAGAUGCAUAUCAAUAAGCGGAGGAAAAGAAACUAACUAGGAUUCCCUCAGUAACGGCGAGUGAAGCGGGAAGAGCUCAAAUUUGAAAUCUUCAAGGUUCUACCUUGACGAAUUGUAGUUUAAAGAAGUGUUUUCUGUUGAGGUUUUGGUAAAAGUUCUUUGGAAUAGGACAUCAUAGAGGGUGAGAAUCCCGUAUUUGACCAUUACUUUCCACUUUGUGAUACACUUUCAAAGAGUCGGAUUGUUUGGGAAUGCAGUCCAAAAUGGGUGGUAAAUUUCAUCUAAAGCUAAAUACUGGCGAGAGACCGAUAGCGAACAAGUACCGUGAGGGAGAGAUGAAAAGAACUUUGAAAAGAGAGUUAAACAGUACGUGAAAUUGUCAAAAGGGAAGCGUUUGACACCAGUGUUGUUUUUCUCGAAAAUCAAUUAAAGAAGCAUGAUUUAUGUAAGUUGUAUUAGACUUUAUCAGCUUCUGCACUCGUUUCGUUUGAGCUUUUCUUUAAUGCACUUUUCAGUUAACAAGUCAACAUCAAUUUCUUUUGUUGUAAAAAGGGUCAUUGGAAGGUGGCUUGCGAUUUCGUAUAAGUGUUUAUAGCCUCUUGCCUCUGCAGUCGGAGAGAUUGAGGUCUGCAGCGUAGAUCCUUCGGGGUUAAAUAGCAUUUGUGCUAAGUUAUAACCUUUCAUAGACAACUUGUUGACUAUGAUCUGUCAUGUAGCUUACUCGCUUAUGCUAUUUUACCUACGCUUAGGAUGUUGAAGUCAUCGUAUCGCGC
Molecule: ribosomal RNA, 783 nt
Filed under: uncultured Neocallimastigales
Lineage: Eukaryota; Fungi; Neocallimastigomycota; Neocallimastigomycetes; Neocallimastigales
Description: partial large subunit ribosomal RNA
Rfam family: Eukaryotic large subunit ribosomal RNA
Source: RNAcentral